This 238-nucleotide ribosomal RNA is filed under the name uncultured Glomus. RNAcentral describes it as "partial small subunit ribosomal RNA". The stretch from base 37 to 238 matches the Rfam family "Eukaryotic small subunit ribosomal RNA", at positions 684 to 886 of the family's 1831-position model. Lineage: Eukaryota; Fungi; Glomeromycota; Glomeromycetes; Glomerales; Glomeraceae. The record is from RNAcentral.
GGAUCAGUAUGUUGGUCGUGCUUCGGUACGUACUGUCAUUACUGGUUUCUCCCUUCUGAAGAACCUUGAUGUCAUUAAUUUGGUGUCUUGGGGAAUCAGGACUGUUACUUUGAAAAAAUUAGAGUGUUUAAAGCAGGCAUUUUGCUUGAAUACAUUAGCAUGGAAUAAUGAAAUAGGACAUCCGAUUCUAUUUUGUUGGUUUCUAGGAUCGACGUAAUGAUUAAUAGGGAUAGUUGGG